Molecule: ribosomal RNA, 879 nt
Filed under: Pseudocercosporella bakeri
Lineage: Eukaryota; Fungi; Ascomycota; Dothideomycetes; Mycosphaerellales; Mycosphaerellaceae
Description: eukaryotic LSU rRNA
Rfam family: Eukaryotic large subunit ribosomal RNA
Source: RNAcentral
CUUAAGCAUAUCAAUAAGCGGAGGAAAAGAAACCAACAGGGAUUGCCCUAGUAACGGCGAGUGAAGCGGCAACAGCUCAAAUUUGAAAUCUGGCGCAAGCCCGAGUUGUAAUUUGUAGAGGAUGCUUCUGGCCAGCGGCCGUUCUAAGUUCCUUGGAACAGGACGUCAUAGAGGGUGAGAAUCCCGUAUGUGACCGGCGCGCAGCCUUUACGUAGCUCCUUCGACGAGUCGAGUUGUUUGGGAAUGCAGCUCUAAAUGGGAGGUAAAUUUCUUCUAAAGCUAAAUACCGGCCAGAGACCGAUAGCGCACAAGUAGAGUGAUCGAAAGAUGAAAAGCACUUUGGAAAGAGAGUUAAAAAGCACGUGAAAUUGUUGAAAGGGAAGCGCUUGCAACCAGACUUCGUAGCGAUGUUCCGCUGGUCUUCUGACCGGUCUACUCAUCGUCGCGAGGCCAACAUCGUCUGGGCCCGCUGGAUAAGACCUAAGGAAUGUAGCUUCCCUCGGGAAGUGUUAUAGCCUGUGGUGAUGCAGCGUGGCUCGGGCGAGGUCCGCGCUUCGGCAAGGAUGUUGGCGUAAUGGUUGUCAGCGGCCCGUCUUGAAACACGGACCAAGGAGUCUAACAUCUAUGCGAGUGUUCGGGUGUCAAACCCCUACGCGUAAUGAAAGUGAACGGAGGUGGGAAGCGCAAGCUGCACCAUCGACCGAUCCUGAUGUCCUCGGAUGGAUUUGAGUAAGAGCAUAGCUGUUGGGACCCGAAAGAUGGUGAACUAUGCCUGAAUAGGGUGAAGCCAGAGGAAACUCUGGUGGAGGCUCGCAGCGGUUCUGACGUGCAAAUCGAUCGUCAAAUUUGGGUAUAGGGGCGAAAGACUAAUCGAACCAU